UCUUGUUAUUUGUUGACCCUGUUAAAAUGUCCAGGUCAUUUGUGUUACUUAACAUGUUAUAUUUAUGGGUUGUGUUCGUGUUUGGUACCCGUGUUAAUCUUGUCAUGUCUGAUCUGUUAAACACGUUUUGCCAUCUCUAUGUCUGACAUGUUAUAUAAACAUGGGGUUGGAGGUUUGAAGUUAGCAAGUGAAUUUGAGCAGAAAUCUAGACUAGCUUUCAUGGAAUUGUAAUUGUGAGCAUGACACCAUGUUGUUGAUGGAUAUAUUGAUCUUUCCAAAAUUCGAUCGGAUUGGAUCAAGAUGUUAAAAUCCCAUGAUCAAGUUUGGGAUUUUAUGUAAGACCCUAUGCAGGAUCAACACGUUUUCACCGAACAAAACUGUAGAAAAUUAAGAUCUUAAAAUCAAGAUCCGGGAUCUUAACAACCAUGGUCUAACGGACACUAGGUUGUCUAGCUAACGCUUGCUUGUUUAUUAUUUUGUUUUUUUUUUUUUACAAAUUGUUAAUGUAUCAAAGUAAUAAUCUAAGUUGUACGUAAAGCAUAUUUUAGGAGGUUACCCUGAGUAACUUACAUAUCAUUUUUACUCAAUCUUCUAAAGUUUGUGCAUUUGACGGACCCGCUAAAGAAGGUAUAUAACCCAAAUUGACUCAUUUAAAAGUCAACGGGUCGCAGUUUCUACAUGUUAUGAAACACUAAAGGAGUAGCUAGUAAUCCAACUAAUCUUCUCAUUUCUUCUGUUGUUUUGCAGGUUGCAAUUUUAGCAGAACUUUUGGGAUCUGGAAGAGCAUCAAAAAGGCUAUUGACUUUUUACUACAUCUUUGUGGGUUUUGCGGUUUUAGCCAUUGCACGAGGUCUGCUCCCAAAUUCUCAAAGGUCAAAUGCAAUUGGCAUACCAUCCGCACGAGUCAUGAAAAAGAGAGCUUGAGCGGUUUACCAAAAUGAGCAAGAAUGCGUCACGUCUUGCUAAUUAGCCAAAGGUGCGUGCUCAUGAGCGCAUGCUAAAGUUUCAACUGGUUCCCUGACAAUAUCCACGUAUGCUAGGAAAUUAAAUGCUUUUUCAUAUGUUCUUACCUACGCUAGAGUUUCAUUGCAAGCAAGGUCCACUGCUUUUGAAUCACUGAAUUUGUGAUAUGAACCAAUGCCGUAUAAAAGUAAUUAGAUGUGUAAUUUUAAUCUUUUAGUUAUGAAGGAUCCUUAAAAUUGUUUUGUAUCAUUUGAUCUAUAGAGUGGGGCUAAAAUUAACGGUAUGAUUUAGUUAAACAUAUUGCAACAGUUGUGCAAUCUUUAAUGUUGGUCUUAUAUGUUAUUGAGUUGUGCUUUAUU
RNAcentral lists this long non-coding RNA (1322 nucleotides) under Helianthus annuus (common sunflower). RNAcentral describes it as "hypothetical non coding rna". Lineage: Eukaryota; Viridiplantae; Streptophyta; Magnoliopsida; Asterales; Asteraceae. The record is from RNAcentral.